RNAcentral lists this ribosomal RNA (467 nucleotides) under uncultured bacterium. Its description in RNAcentral is "partial 16S ribosomal RNA". It matches the Rfam family "Bacterial small subunit ribosomal RNA", at positions 28 to 507 of the family's 1533-position model. The record is from RNAcentral.
GAUGAACGCUGGCGGCGUGCUUAACACAUGCAAGUCGAACGGAAAGGCCUCUGCUUGCAGGGGUACUCGAGUGGCGAACGGGUGAGUAACACGUGGGUGAUCUGCCCUGCACUUCGGGAUAAGCCUGGGAAACUGGGUCUAAUACCGGAUAGGACAAUGGUUUGGAUGCUGUUGUGGAAAGUUUUUCGGUGUGGGAUGAGCUCGCGGCCUAUCAGCUUGUUGGUGGGGUAAUGGCCUACCAAGGCGUCGACGGGUAGCCGGCCUGAGAGGGUGUACGGCCACAUUGGGGCUGAGAUGCGGCCCAGACUCCUACGGGAGGCAGCAGUGGGGAAUAUUGCACAAUGGGCGCAAGCCUGAUGCAGCGACGCCGCGUGGGGGAUGACGGCCUUCGGGUUGUAAACUCCUUUCGCUAGGGACGAAGCGUUUUUGUGACGGUACCUGGAGAAGAAGCACCGGCUAACUACGUG